RNAcentral lists this transfer RNA (88 nucleotides) under Clostridia bacterium. RNAcentral's name for it is "tRNA-Leu". It matches the Rfam family "tRNA". Rfam says of the family: Transfer RNA (tRNA) molecules are approximately 80 nucleotides in length. Their secondary structure includes four short double-helical elements and three loops (D, anti-codon, and T loops). Further hydrogen bonds mediate the characteristic L-shaped molecular structure. tRNAs have two regions of fundamental functional importance: the anti-codon, which is responsible for specific mRNA codon recognition, and the 3' end, to which the tRNAs corresponding amino acid is attached (by aminoacyl-tRNA synthetases). tRNAs cope with the degeneracy of the genetic code in two manners: having more than one tRNA (with a specific anti-codon) for a particular amino acid; and 'wobble' base-pairing, i.e. permitting non-standard base-pairing at the 3rd anti-codon position. Lineage: Bacteria; Bacillati; Bacillota; Clostridia. The record is from RNAcentral.
GCGGGCGUGGCGGAACUGGCAGACGCGCCAGACUUAGGAUCUGGUGGGUUCGCGACCCAUGGGGGUUCAAGUCCCCCCGCCCGCACCA